Molecule: ribosomal RNA, 380 nt
Filed under: uncultured eukaryote
Lineage: Eukaryota
Description: partial 18S ribosomal RNA
Rfam family: Eukaryotic small subunit ribosomal RNA
Source: RNAcentral
CAAUAGCGUAUAUUAAAGUUGUUGCGGUUAAAAAGCUCGUAGUUGGAUUUCUGCCGAGGACGACCGGUCCGCCCUCUGGGUGUGUAUCUGGUUUGGCCUGGGCAUCUUCUUGGAGAACGUAGCUGCACUUGACUGUGUGGUGCGGUGUCCAGGACUUUUACUUUGAGGAAAUUAGAGUGUUUCAAGCAGGCACACGCCUUGAAUACAUUAGCAUGGAAUAAUAAGAUAGGACCUCGGUUCUAUUUUGUUGGUUUCUAGAGCUGAGGUAAUGAUUAAUAGGGACAGUUGGGGCCGUUUAUAUUUCGUUGUCAGAGGUGAAAUUCUUGGAUUUACGAAAGAUAAACUUCUGCGAAAGCAUUCGGCAAGGAUGUUUUCAUUGA